UGAGGAAUAUUGGUCAAUGGGCGCAAGCCUGAACCAGCCAUCCCGCGUGCAGGAAGACGGCUCUAUGGGUUGUAAACUGCUUUUCCAGGGAGAGAAACUUGCGUACGCGUUGCGCAAUUGACGGUACCCUGGGAAUAAGCAUCGGCUAACUCCGUGCCAGCAGCCGCGGUAAUACGGAGGAUGCGAGCGUUAUCCGGAUUCAUUGGGUUUAAAGGGUGCGUAGGCGGACUAUUAAGUCAGUGGUGAAAUCCUGCAGCUUAACUGCAGAACUGCCAUUGAUACUGAUAGCCUUGAGUUUGGUUAAGGUAGGCGGAAUGUGUAAUGUAGCUGUGAAAUGCGUAGAUAUUACACAGAACACCAAUUGCGUAGGCAGCUUACUGAGCCGACACUGGCGCUGUGGCACUAAAGCGUGGGGGUCGAACA
Molecule: ribosomal RNA, 423 nt
Filed under: uncultured prokaryote
Description: bacterial SSU rRNA
Rfam family: Bacterial small subunit ribosomal RNA
Source: RNAcentral